Ictalurus furcatus (blue catfish) is the source of this 2162-nucleotide RNA transcript. RefSeq lists it as uncharacterized. The record is from RefSeq and is a predicted model, not a curated record. NCBI's taxonomy places the organism in Eukaryota, Metazoa, Chordata, Actinopteri, Siluriformes, Ictaluridae. The transcript is spliced from 8 exons.
CUCCACGCCUUCAGCUGUAACAUUGUUGAACCAAGUCUUUAUGUCUCUAUGGCUGCACAGAGAAUCUUUUCUGCCCUCACCACUUUCAGUGAACUUGAAAUAUCUUUCAGCUGGUGUAAAAACAAUCGACUCUGAAUUAGAACGGUAAAGAAGUGAAAAGCUUGGAUAAGAUGAUGCAUUAACGAGUGAGGGAUGAAUUCUGGGAAAGCGGCGAAAGAGAAAAAGAAAACGCAAAGUGAUCAACGGGAUCUUAUGAGCAACACUCUGGUAUCUGCAGAUAAGGAGUUAAGGCAGUUUGGAGUUAUGGAAUUGCACAACUCCAGCCUUGAUGAAUAUGACAAGUUAUCUCCUGGUCCUUCUCACUCUGUUCUCCGUUCCCCUUCUUCUCCUCCUCCACGAUCAAAAGAUCUCAGAGUGACUUUUCAACAGGAACGUUCAAACAGCUUUCCAAAGACAAUGCCUUUCUGUAGGAUUUUAAAACAAAACGCAUCUCCUUUAUUAUCAAGAUCUGAUCAGCAGUCAGUACUCACUCGUACACAGAGUACACCAGAGAUCAGAUCUUUAUAUUUGGACUCUGAGCCUACAGAAGGAACUAAUAAACCCUGGGAUAAGAAUUUUAGGGAUGCUGUGUUGUCAUGGACCUCAAUGAAUCACCCUUUGGCUGAAACACACACAGAGCUGGAAUCACAUACUGACAGACUGCUUCGCCUUACCAGGGACUUGUAUGAAUCGACCCACCUACCUGAUGCUGCCAUACAAUUUUUCGAGAUGAGGCAAGAGGAAAGAUCACCAGUUCAUAGACUCUGCAUGAAUUCCUUAUCACAGCCAGACAAACAGGAGACCCAGCAGACUUCUAAACAACGGCUAAAAACCAAGGAACAGUUGAUCGUUCCAGAAGCCCAGGGAAGCUCUUUGUCUGGUCCAGCUGUCCAGCCCUGUGGUCCUGAUGUGUGCGCUGUGUUGAGGACUCUUCUGGACCUGGUGGACGAGCACUGGAAUGGACAAAACUCUCUCCACCUCAAUCUCAACUUUAUGGCAAAAGCCAUCCUCCUUCUAUUACCUCUAACUAACCCGGUUCCACCAUCCCAAUCUGAGGACAAGUAUAUAAGAGGACGUAAGGAUGAGCAGAAAGGAAAGCGGGAGAGCAGAGAAUGGUGGGAUGUGGAGAAAUCAAGGCAGGUAAAGAGCAUGUUGGGGAAUGAACAGGGUGGAAACGAGGAGUGCGAAAGCUGCGGAGAACACCGAUCAGCAAUCGAUGUCUCCAAAGUUAGACAGCUGAAGAGACAACUUGCCAAAACUCAACAUGAACAGGUCUUUGUAUUGCUUCUGUUUUUUUCUUUUUCUUUUCCAAAUCACAUUUUUAAGACUUACUUUCUGUGUUUCCGAAUAAACUUUAAAUACUUCUGUGUUGAAGGAGUCAUUGAAGACGAGACUGAUCUCGGCUUUAAAAGAGAACUUCGUUUUGCGAGCAGAGAAAAUGAAGAUAAUCACAAGUUUGGAAAAUGACACUACACUGUUGGACUUGGGAGUACAUUUGGACAGAGAAACAAAAGUUCUUCAACAGCAAGACAAACUCUUAAAGCAGUUGGAACGAACACUGCAUCUUCUACAGGACAAUCACAGAUCCUUGGUAUCCCGUAAUGACUUGCUGCAGAAUUUGAUCAAAAGAACCAGCAAAAUGCAGUGAAACAUUAUAAAUCUACUGAAUCGAUAUUGGUAAAAUAAACAGUUUGUAUAUUUAACUGUAUAUGUUUUUACUGGCCGAACUUCAAAUGUAUUUCUUUUUUGUUAUAGUUUGUCUUAUAUGCCUAAAUGAUUUAAAAUAGUAAAGGUGCUACUGUUCUCUAAUUCCUCUGUGUAUAUAAAUAUAUUAAAGCAGGUAGCAUUACAGUGAGUGACGAUUAAAUUGGAAUAACCAUCUUUACAAUAAACAAUAAAUAGUUAUCUUAAAAAAAAAAUACAUCUGAAGUGUUUAUGUGGGGUUUAUGAAUGUUCCACGUAGAACCCUACAACAGAGCAUGCCUCUUUGAUAAACUGAUCUAUGAUAGAUCAUAAUUAUGUGAUCAUUUCUAUGAAUGUGUAUUUCCUGUAUGAGCACAAGAAAUAUGGAGACCAUGACCAAAGACUUCAAACAUACGCGUUCGUACGUAAAAUUCGUAACA